CAGAGUUUGCAAACACAGGAAGAGAGAGCACCUUGGGACUUGGUGGCAUCUGAGACCAUUGCUUCUCUUUGUGGCAUUGACUUAAAAUCAAGCCACAGAGCUAAAGACAACUCCAUGGUGACUGAGGUCUGCAGGAACAUGAUGACUGUGGCAGUGUCUCCAAUCAAAGAGUGACACCCAGACACCCACCCGUCCCCAGGGAGCCACACCUAGCAGGGUGUCUGGAGAGAUGGCUCAGCAGUUAAGAGCACUUGUUGUUCUUCCAGAGGACCAGCGUUUGGCUCCCAGCACCCACAUCAGGUGGCUAACAACUGUCUACAACGCCAGCCUUGGGAGAAUCCAAUGAGUCUGGCUUCCAAGGAGAGCUGUGCUCAUAUGCUUAUACCUACAUGCAGAUACAGACAUAUGUACAUUUAAUAGUAAUAAAAAAUUAAACAUUAAAAACAGUAGUA
Long non-coding RNA from Mastomys coucha (southern multimammate mouse), 452 nucleotides. RefSeq lists it as uncharacterized. The record is from RefSeq and is a predicted model, not a curated record. The transcript is spliced from 3 exons. NCBI's taxonomy places the organism in Eukaryota, Metazoa, Chordata, Mammalia, Rodentia, Muridae.